GCAUCUCGAACGACGCGUAGUGUUUGUGGCUUAGGACCUCAAUAACACGGGGAUAACCGUGCCUUUAGGACCGUGAUAGCCCCGGCAUGCAGGGGAUAUUCAUCGAUACACGAUGGGGCCUGCAAUGAUGGGUCACCGACACACUUUCGUGUGGGCAAGGAUGCGUCUGCCCCAGACUAUGAUGUUGAUAGGGUAACAGCCCACCAAGCCGAUGAUCGAUCCGGGUUCAGAGAUCCAGAGCCUGGAGAUGGAACCUGAGACAAGGUUUCAGCACCUACGGCAAGCAGCAGGCGGGAAACCUCAAGCAACACUCGCAAGUGCGACGGGGGUACCACAAGUACCAAUCUUAACGAAUAAGCUUUUCACAAGUGUAAAAACAUUCUCGAAUAAGGCAUGGGCAAGACCGGUGCCAGCCGCCGCGGUAACACCUGCAGCUCAAGUGGUAGCUGCUUUUAUUGGGCCUAAAGCUUCCGUAGCCGGUCUGAUAAAUUUCCGGGGAAGUCCCUCAGGUUAACCGUUGGAAUGACAGGAGAUAUUAUCACGACUUGAGGUCGGGAGAGGCUGGUGGUACUCCCAGCGUAGGGGUGAAAUCCGUUCAUCCUGGGAGGACCACCUGUGGAGAAGGGAUCCACAGGGACCGAACCCGGCGGUGAGGGCCGAAAGCCAGGGGCGCGAACCGGAUUAGAUACCCGGGUAGUACUGGCCGUAAACGAUGCAGACUUGAAGUUGGGAUGGCUUCGAGCUGCCCCAGUGCCGAAGGGAAGAUGUUAAGUCCACCACCUGGGAAGUACGGCAGCAAGGCAGAAACUGGAAGGAAUUGGCGGGGGAGCUUCACAACGCGUCGUGCCUGCAAGGUAAUCGACUCAACGCCGGACAUCUCACCAAGGGCGACAGCGAUCUGAGAGGCAG
RNAcentral lists this ribosomal RNA (909 nucleotides) under uncultured archaeon. RNAcentral describes it as "partial 16S ribosomal RNA". It matches the Rfam family "Archaeal small subunit ribosomal RNA", at positions 53 to 957 of the family's 1478-position model. The record is from RNAcentral.